This is a long non-coding RNA of Pecten maximus, 1346 nucleotides long. RefSeq lists it as uncharacterized. Lineage: Eukaryota; Metazoa; Mollusca; Bivalvia; Pectinida; Pectinidae. The transcript has 3 exons. The record is from RefSeq and is a predicted model, not a curated record.
CGUAUCGGAGGACACUGUGAGUAAGCUAUAGGCGUGGAACGCGGAUGUUUUCUGCCAGUAGUGCAGUGUGUGGCUUGGUCUACACCUGUUUUCCGUUCUGUUUCAUCACUAACUCUAAAAGCUACUGUCUGUUUCUAUUUCCGUCUUCUGGAAACCAUUGUUAUAUCUCAUUAAAAACUAUUUCAGAUAAUAUUUUCAUUACAAAUCACAGUUUGUUUACAUAUCUGAACACUGUCCCUCCCAUUGAGCUUCUACCGUGAUAAUAAAUGAUUUCUCAAAUAACAUCGAGAAAGGGUAUCGGAGUACAUACAGUCACAUCGGAAGACUGCCCUAUUGGUUCUGUUAUGGCAACACCUAUCUAAAUACGAUAUGCGCAUGCGCGCACGGAUGAAAUGGACACGGCCGGGUGCCUGUAUAUAUUGGUGCGCUCCUCCCCGAGGUACAUAUUGACGGAAUAUAUCUCAGCUGCUUCAACCUCUUGACCGGACGAAUUCUUCUCUCUCCGCAGAACUAUGGAUGGAUUAAUUGACAAUUUGCUUUCCGAUCAAUGGGAGGAGGUGUCCGCCGCUGACCGUGGAGACGGAUUCGUCGAUUAUUUCCUAAAUGGGAAUCCAACACAGGUGGACGCAAACACUCUCGGACUGGUUAUCUCGGAUGAGGAAGGUAACGCGAAAAAAGUGGUACUGAAGGGCACACAACCCAACAAGAACCCCCUUAAUAAAAUCAGCCGUGUUGAACUAAAACUUGAUGGAGAGCAAAACUUGGUUGGAAUUGAUUUGAAUGGAGAUGUUGUGGUUUACAAGAGCUAAGGAUAAAAUACGAAGUAUCAAAGACAUGAUGUAAAUAAGCAUUAACAUUCACAUAUAUAUUCGCCCUAUUUCGCUGUAAAUAAAUCUGUGUUACGUUUUAAGUUGUUAUAAUAUAAAUUUUACUAUGCUCCCAAACUGGCCUUUUGUUAUCUCGUGUGGCCAAAACCUGUGUCGUCACUAACAAAUGUCAUCAGUGAAGCAUCAGAAUCAGAACCGGAACCGGAAGUUGCUCAUAUAUGUUACAGUUUGUUCGACAAGUGUUCAGAUCGCCGAUUUUUAAAGCUUCAGAACAUGGCUUAUCCAUUUGUAAUGUAAAAGUAUAUGUUUGGUAAAUCGUUGUGAUAUUAGAAACAUAUAACCGAGAACUUAACAUUGAUUAUGUUACAUGCUGUCAAGUUUAUAAGGACCUUCGUCAUACAAAUUAUCUGUUGAAUUUUUGCAAGUUUUAUGUAAAAGUGUGACACGUAUGUAGCUGUUCUGUUUAAUUUACUGAUGUCUGCUGAAUAUUUAUACUCACAAAUAAACUAUUUCAUGUUA